CAUUUCAGCCAGAACCCCGGCUAAUGGGCUUCCUAUCGGAACGCCUGUCACUUGCUGGUAAAAUUCUCCUUCGAAUUGAACGUAAACUUCGUGUAUCAGUAGAUGGCAUAGGCUUCUUAGGAGUUCUGGAUCUUUUUCUUCUGGGGGUAAUUGUUCUAAGAACAUACAGUAGAGUAGCAGACAUGCCGGCUCCAGUUUUAUCGAUGGGUACAAGGCCUCAUAAUCAUAAACCUCAAUGCUUUCAUCUGGGAGGGGGCCUUUCUUGUAAAGUGCCUGAAUAAAUUGCACUGUCAAAUUUAACGACCAUUCAUAUCCUUUCAGUUU
Molecule: long non-coding RNA, 324 nt
Filed under: Androctonus crassicauda
Lineage: Eukaryota; Metazoa; Arthropoda; Arachnida; Scorpiones; Buthidae
Source: RNAcentral